Manihot esculenta (cassava) is the source of this 1879-nucleotide long non-coding RNA. RefSeq lists it as uncharacterized. The transcript has 2 exons. The record is from RefSeq and is a predicted model, not a curated record. Lineage: Eukaryota; Viridiplantae; Streptophyta; Magnoliopsida; Malpighiales; Euphorbiaceae.
AUAUGAUAUGAUAAAACCAACUGAUCUUGUUAGAUUUUCGUUUAAUUGAAUUUUCAAGUGAUAAUCCAAUGCUUGACUGAUGGUUGUGAAUAUGUUGUUUGUGAUUUGAAAGCCUACUUAUCUUGAUAGAUUUACGAACUAAUUCUAACAUCUGAAGGCAUGAUUCAUUUUGCAAUAAAAGAAUUUAAAUGAAUUCUUGUAAAAUUAUGGAAGAUUUCAACUUUUGAUUCAAAUUUUAAUGUGGAAUGAUAUUAAGUGUAAUUACUAUUUUAUAAUUCUAAUUUGUGUUAUACUUUAAAAUGCAACAAAAUAUUAAGUAUCUCAUAUAUAUAUAUAUAUAUAUAUAUAUAUAUAUAUAUAUAUAUAUGUAUAUGUAUAUAAAUUACUGUCUUCUUCCUUUACAUGAACUGAACAAGUUCUUCUAUAGCUUUAGUUUGCUAAAUACAUAGCUUUAUCCCUGGGAUUUAAGCCAGUGAAUACUUGAGCUAAAAUAAUGAGUUACUGAAUAUUUGAACUUAUGAAAAGCAGCACAAUUAAAUGCAAAUUAGUCAUGUUAUUGAUGAAGAAAGUAAAAAAAGUUCCAAAUUAUUACAAGUGUUGUUAGAGGCGCGAGGCGAGUCAAAGAGGCCCUUGCCUGGCUUUGCCUUUUCGAAACAACAGGCAUAUCAGUAUUUGUUUUUGUUUUCUUUUGCUUUUUAAACAUCGAGUCCUAAACUAUAGUGUCUAUUUCCACAUCAGCUGCUGGAGAACUGAAUUUCAGGUACAUUUCCCUUAGUUUUUUCUUCGUUCCACUCUCUCCUCUCAUCUUCUUUUCUCACUGCUGGCACAGCAAACCCAGCUGAGUUUUUUUUUUAAUCUUCUUCCUUGCCCUCUCUCCUCUUUCUCUCCUCUUAUUCUCUUCGUAUCGUCUCUUAUUCUCACUGCUGGUGCAGAAACAUCCAGCCUGUUUUCCCCUAUUUUUUGUUUCAUUUUUACUUCUCUAUUUUAAGGUGUACACACACGCACACUCUCUCUCUCUCUGGUGGCCCACUCUCAGCUUGGCUCGCCUCUCCUCUCGCUUGGGGCCAUAGGGUACCUGUCACCUUGCACUAUGUUUGGUUGGAAGUUUUAGAAUGUUUGGUUGGAAGUUUUAGAAUGUUAAGAGAUGGUUUUAAAAGUAAUCUUCAUGUUUGGGAGGAUCCUUUUUAAGAAAGGUAAGGUUUUUGGAGAUUUCAAAACCUCCAAAAAUGUCUUUUUUUUUUUUUGGGUCCACCAAAUUGGAGUGUUAGGAAGGUUAUGAUACUUCACUUUUUAUUACUUUGCUUUACUUCCAAUCCAAACACACUUUUAUUGUUGCCUCUCCUUUAAUAGCACUCAUUUGUCUUAAAUUUUGUUGAAUGUGAUCCAAGCUUUCAUAAAAUGAAAAAGUUAUCCUCAAUGAGACGGAAAGAACUUUUGUUGUUCAUAAGAUUUAUUGUCAAGUGCCAUGAUUGUUCGAUUUCUGAUGCUACCUGGAUUUCUAAAGAGACAUUUCAAACUUUGGAUUCUUCUCUCAUGGAUUCUUAUGUGCAGUUCAACUCUCUGGAAUCAAGCUCUUCUCGACCAAGUGGAGUGCUGGUUUAAUUUUUUUUUUCUUAUUUUGGGAUUCCCAACCUUAGUACUAGUGGGACUAGUUAUUAUUUCUAUAAAUACCCGAGUCAUCUAGAUAGCUGGUAUUUAGUAGAGCUUAUUAUGAUAUUAUUAUGACAAUUGAAAAUUAAAAUAAAAUUAUUAACCUUGUUUGUAGUGUAUUCACUCAUUUGCAUUACGGAAUGUGUACAAUUGUCUCCUUGGUAGAAUAAUUUGAAACACUCGUGAGAUUUAAACUAUUAUUUUCUAGCAUUCUGGUUUUUUUUUUUUU